Molecule: unclassified non-coding RNA, 376 nt
Filed under: uncultured Candidatus Midichloriaceae bacterium
Lineage: Bacteria; Pseudomonadati; Pseudomonadota; Alphaproteobacteria; Rickettsiales; Candidatus Midichloriaceae
Description: contains 16S-23S intergenic spacer region
Source: RNAcentral
UCCGGCUUAUCACCGGCAGUUUCCUUAGAGUGCCCGACAUUACUCGCUGGUAACUAAGGAUAAGGGUUGCGCUCGUUGCGGGACUUAACCCAACAUCUCACGACACGAGCUGACGACAGCCAUGCAACAUCUGUAAUAGUCCGGCCGAACCGACUCCCUAGUUUCUUAGGGAUACGACUACUAUGUCAAGGCCUGGUAAGGUUUUUCGCGUAGCAUCGAAUUAAACCACAUGUUCCACCGCUUGUGCGGGUCCCCGUCAAUUCCUUUGAGUUUUAAUCUUGCGACCGUACUUCCCAGGCGGAGUGCUUAACGCGUUAGCUACGACACCAAAGAUAAACUCUGAUAUCUAGCACUCAUCGUUUAUGGCGUGGACUAC